This 548-nucleotide ribosomal RNA is filed under the name uncultured bacterium. RNAcentral describes it as "bacterial SSU rRNA". It matches the Rfam family "Bacterial small subunit ribosomal RNA", at positions 355 to 896 of the family's 1533-position model. The record is from RNAcentral.
UGGGGAAUUUUGGACAAUGGGGGCAACCCUGAUCCAGCCAUGCCGCGUGAGUGAAGAAGGCCUUCGGGUUGUAAAGCUCUUUCGGACGGAAAGAAAUCGCCAUUUCUAAUACAAGUGGUGGAUGACGGUACCGUCAUAAGAAGCACCGGCUAACUACGUGCCAGCAGCCGCGGUAAUACAGAGGGGGCAAGCGUUAUUCGGAAUUACUGGGCGUAAAGCGUGCGCAGGCGGUUCGUUAAGUCAGAUGUGAAAGCCCCGGGCUCAACCUGGGAACUGCAUUUGAGACUGGCGAGCUGGAGUGUGGCAGAGGGGGGUGGAAUCCCACGUGUAGCAGUGAAAUGCGUAGAGAUGUGUAGGAACACCGAUGGCGAAGGCAGCCCCCUGGGCUGACACUGACGCUCAUGCACGAAAGCGUGGGGAGCAAACAGGAUUAGAUACCCUGGUAGUCCACGCCCUAAACGAUGUCAACUGGGUGUUGGGGGAGCGAUUCCUCAGUACCGUAGCUAACGCGUGAAGUUGACCGCCUGGGGAGUACGGCCGCAAGGUUA